RNAcentral lists this ribosomal RNA (372 nucleotides) under uncultured bacterium. Its description in RNAcentral is "bacterial SSU rRNA". It matches the Rfam family "Bacterial small subunit ribosomal RNA", at positions 524 to 898 of the family's 1533-position model. The record is from RNAcentral.
UACGGAGGAUCCGAGCGUUAUCCGGAUUUAUUGGGUUUAAAGGGUGCGUAGGCGGGUUUGUAAGUCAGUGGUGAAAGUUUCCGGCUUAACCGGGAGAAUGCCGUUGAGACUGCAAAUCUUGAGUGCAAGCGAGGUAAGUGGAAUGUGUUGUGUAGCGGUGAAAUGCAUAGAUAUAACACAGAACACCGAUUGCGAAGGCAGCUUACUAGUAUGUAACUGACGCUGAGGCACGAAAGCGUGGGGAGCAAACAGGAUUAGAUACCCUGGUAGUCCACGCAGUAAACGAUGAAUACUAGCUGUAUGCGAUAGACAGUAUGCGGCGGAGCGAAAGCAUUAAGUAUCCCACCUGGGGAGUACGUCGGCAACGAUGAA